Molecule: ribosomal RNA, 431 nt
Filed under: uncultured bacterium
Lineage: Bacteria
Description: partial 16S ribosomal RNA
Rfam family: Bacterial small subunit ribosomal RNA
Source: RNAcentral
AACGAACGCUGGCGGCAGGCUUAACACAUGCAAGUCGAACGCCCCGCACGGGGAGUGGCCGACGGGUGAGUAACGCGUGGGAACAUACCCUUUCCUGCGGAAUAGCUCCGGGAAACUGGUAUUAAUACCGCAUACGCCCUACGGGGGAAAGAUUUAUCGGGGAAGGAUUGGCCCGCGUUGGAUUAGCUAGUUGGUGGGGUAAAGGCCUACCAAGGCGACGAUCCAUAGCUGGUCUGAGAGGAUGAUCAGCCACAUUGGGACUGAGACACGGCCCAAACUCCUACGGGAGGCAGCAGUGGGGAAUAUUGGACAAUGGGCGCAAGCCUGAUCCAGCCAUGCCGCGUGAGUGAUGAAGGCCUUAGGGUUGUAAAGCUCUUUCACCGAUGAAGAUAAUGACGGUAGUCGGAGAAGAAGCCCCGGCUAACUUCGUG